Ictalurus punctatus (channel catfish) is the source of this 538-nucleotide long non-coding RNA. NCBI's taxonomy places the organism in Eukaryota, Metazoa, Chordata, Actinopteri, Siluriformes, Ictaluridae. The record is from Ensembl.
GAACAUCGGAACAAGUACAUUUUAUGGGAAAAAAAGAAAGUCGUUAACUUCAAGAGAGAAAACGAAAGAGAGGCUGGUGAGGGAAACGACCGUUUACAGCUGCCGUGACAAGAAAGAUGCCUAGGGUUCCUGCUUACCUGCGUGAACAUGACAUAGGCCUGCUGCAGGGAGGCAUGAGGACUGCAGAUGUGUCCAGAGAAAUAUACUGCAAUGUCUGUAAUGUAAGACGCCUAAGACGGUGCUACAGGGAGACAGGAAGGACAGCUGAUCGUCCUUGCAGUGGAAAAUUACAUGUAACCGUGCGUCCCCCCAGACACGAUGCCUUGGUGGAAGGGUGGAGGAACAUCUCACAGCAAGAACUGACCAAUCUGGUGCAGUCCAUGAGGAUGAGAUGCACUGUAGUACUUAAAGCAGCUGGAGUCCACCAGAUACUGACUGUUAAUUUUAAUAUUGACCCCCCCUUUGUUCAGGGACUCAUUAUUCCAUUUCUGUUCGCCAAAUGUCUGUGAAACUUGUUCAGUUUACGUCUCAGUUCUUG